UUUGGUUACCAGGUAAACCACGUUGUUUGCCCGGGAUCUCGGCCCAAUCCACGUGGGUCGUUUCAGCCCGGGAACUAUUCCACACGGGUUUUAUUUUGUUGUUUGGUUUGGGCCACGGUGGAAAAAAUCUCAGCCCAAACCACGUCGGUCCGCUACAUUCCACAGGGUCCAGAAGAAUCGCCUCAAAGGCGUGGAACGAAACCACGAGACGAGCGCAGGAAACCUAGGGUUUGACGAGGCGAAAGUGGCGGCGGCGACGCGUUGUCUCCGGCAACGACAAGGAACGGUGACGCAGUGCCUCCAGCGACCACAACGGCUUCCUUCUCUCCGGUAAGUCCUCUCCUUUUUCUUGCCCAAUUUGCUGCAUCUUAACUCCGCCGCCGGUGACGGACAAAGUCGCCGUGGGGCUCGUCGACUGGGCGCGCCCCUUCCUGCGCCGCGCCGACGACCGGCUGCACCGCGUCAUGG
RNAcentral lists this long non-coding RNA (468 nucleotides) under Hordeum vulgare. Its description in RNAcentral is "long non-coding RNA (HVUL_LNC009163)". The record is from RNAcentral. Lineage: Eukaryota; Viridiplantae; Streptophyta; Magnoliopsida; Poales; Poaceae.